CAACUUUUGGCAACGGAUCUCUUGGUUCUCGCAACGAUGAAGAACGCAGCGAAAUGCGAUAAGUAGUGUGAAUUGCAGAAUUCAGUGAAUCAUCAAAUCUUUGAACGCACAUUGCGCUUCCUGGUAUUCCGGGGAGCAUGCCCGUUUCAGAAUCAUUAAAUCCUCA
This 166-nucleotide ribosomal RNA is filed under the name Phlyctochytrium californicum. RNAcentral describes it as "5.8S ribosomal RNA". It matches the Rfam family "5.8S ribosomal RNA". Rfam says of the family: 5.8S ribosomal RNA (5.8S rRNA) is a component of the large subunit of the eukaryotic ribosome. It is transcribed by RNA polymerase I as part of the 45S precursor that also contains 18S and 28S rRNA. Functionally, it is thought that 5.8S rRNA may be involved in ribosome translocation. Lineage: Eukaryota; Fungi; Chytridiomycota; Chytridiomycetes; Chytridiales; Chytridiaceae. The record is from RNAcentral.